GUCCAUCCACAGGGGUGCUCCGUACGGUCGGGGCUGAGACGGGGGCGGCAAGCCCACAGACCCUAGAAGCUGAUCUGGGUAAUACCAGCGGAGCGAGGCGGGCUAUGUUUUCAG
This is a non-coding RNA of Mesorhizobium huakuii 7653R, 114 nucleotides long. NCBI's taxonomy places the organism in Bacteria, Pseudomonadati, Pseudomonadota, Alphaproteobacteria, Hyphomicrobiales, Phyllobacteriaceae. The record is from Rfam.